RNAcentral lists this ribosomal RNA (186 nucleotides) under uncultured Actinomycetales bacterium. RNAcentral's name for it is "partial 16S ribosomal RNA". It matches the Rfam family "Bacterial small subunit ribosomal RNA", at positions 148 to 334 of the family's 1533-position model. Lineage: Bacteria; Bacillati; Actinomycetota; Actinomycetes; Actinomycetales. The record is from RNAcentral.
UCAAGGAAACGUGGGGCUAAUACCGGAUAGGAGCUCCUGCUGCAUGGUGGGGGUUGGAAAGUUUCGGCGGUUGGGGAUGGACUCGCGGCUUAUCAGCUUGUUGGUGGGGUAGUGGCUUACCAAGGCUUUGACGGGUAGCCGGCCUGAGAGGGUGACCGGCCACAUUGGGACUGAGAUACGGCCCAG